UUUAUUAUCCUUGGCCCAACAACCUAUCCAUAGUGACUAAGCAAGGAAACUAGCAAAAAACUUGAAAGAAAUAUUAAACAUCAGAGGAGACUAAGGAAUUCUUUUGUAAUUGAAGAAAAUGACAGUGAGUUUUUGUCACGACCCUAUAUUCCCUCUGUAGGAUGUCGUGAUGACACCUAGUGUCUAAGACUAGGUAAGCCUAUCAAUGCGAAAUAACAAUAGAAAUAUGAAAUAGAUAAAUAUGCAACUCACUUAAUUACAACUCUCAAAACCCGAUAGAAAUAAGUCACAAGCUUCUAAGAAUUUAUCCUCAAUGUAUCUAUAUAUCAGGGUCUAAAGAAAGAUAAGGAAACAACAUAAUAAUGAUAAUGGACAUGGGGAAAAGUAGGAGACUCUGAGGUCUACGGACGCGGCAGAUAUACCUUGAAGUCUCCAAAGUUGUCCCAUCUCACUGAUAGUGCGGUUGAUAAGGAGUAUCUGGAUAUGCACACGAAAAACAUGUGCAGAAGAGUAGCAUGAUUACACCAUAAUCGGUACUCAUUAAGUGUCAAGCCUAACCUUGGUAUAUAUAAUAAUAAAGCAAAGCAGAAAUAAAAUAUCGCAAUAAAAUAAGGACUGAAAUUUAACAAGAAAGAAUUCAUACAAGGUAACAACUCAGUACACAGAAAUACAACAGGAGCUCUCCCGAGAUACCGCCUCGUUGUCCCAAACGUAAAUGUGCAGGGGGAUCUCCCGAAAUACCAUUUCGUAGUCCCAAAAUAAAUAUGCAAGACAGGGGGGGGGGAUCUCCUGAAAUACCAUUCCAUAGUCCCAAAAUAAAUAUGCAGUACAGGAGGAUCUCCCGGAAUACCGUUCUGUAGUCCCAAAGUAAAUAUGCAAGACAGGGAGAUCUCCCGGAAUACCGUUUCUUAGUCCCAAAGUAAAUAUACGGUACAGGGGGGUCUCCCAGAAUACCGUUCUGUAGUCCCAAAAUAAAUAUGCAGCCAAACAAUAGAAUUCAAUAGUUACAAGACAAAAUUCUACAGUUCAACCUAAGUACCAGUUAAGUAAAGACAGGUAAAUUCACUAAACAUGAUGCACGUAGUUCAAGUAAACAGUUAAGGCAAGUAGGCAUGUAAUUCUAGUCUAGAUGGAUACCACAUGCUGAUGGAACUCAAAUAAGACGGAAAUCAGGUUAUUACUUAGUAGAAAAAUCGAGUUUUUACACAAUUAUCCUGUGUAUGUACUCGUCACCUCACGUACACGACGCUCAUAUAUCAAAAACAACAGUACAAAUCCUACGUGGAGUUCCCCCACACAAAGUUAGGCAAGUCACUUGCCUCGAACCAAGCUCAAUCAAUCGGUAAGAAUGCCUUAUCCACGAAUAUCCGACUCUGAAUGGCUCGAAUCUAGCCAAAAUAAUUCGAUACAGUCAACAAAAAUUAUAUGAAUCAAUUUCAUAAGAAAAUACUAUAUUUUUCAAUAAAAAUCCGAAAUUAACUCAAAAAUUGCCCAUAGGGCGCACGUAUCAGAAUCCGGAAAAACUCACAAAAUCCAACAACCCAUUCAAUUAGGAGUCAAACCAUACCAGUUUCACCCAAAUUCGACUCUGAAUCGACACCGAAAUCUCAAAAUUCCGUUUCAAAAUACUAAUUAAAUAAUGAAAACAAAUGAUGGAUUUGGGUAAUCUAACCAUAAUUGAGUUAAGAACACUUACCUGAUGUUUUCCUUGAAAAUAUCCCAAAAAUCGCCUGUCCCCAAACUCCAAUUCGUCAAAAAUGGCACAGGGCCUGUUUUAUAAUUUUGUCUAGGCAGCCCUCGGUCCUGCGUCGAUCAUGGCUUCAAUCAUGACCCUCGAUCCUGGGCCUCGAUCCUGACCUUCAAUUCUGGGCAUCGAUCAUGGCUUCGAUCCUAGCCCUCGAUCCUGGACUUCGAUCAUGGACCUCGAUUCUGGCCUUCGAUCAUGGCCCUUGAUCCUGAGCCUUCCAUCAUGGCCCUCGAUACUGGCCCUCGACCCUGGCUUCGAUUCAGGCCCUCGACCUUGGGCUCAAUUUCUGGGUUCGAUUUCUCCAUUUCCAGCUUUUUAAGUCCAACUUUUGAUCUGUUAACCAUCUGAAACUUACCCGAGGCCCUUGGGACUUCAACAAAAUACACCAAAAAGUUCUAAAACAAUAUACAAACUUAUUUGAAACCUCAAAUCACAUCAAACGCUAAAAAUCACAAUUCACACCCCAAUUCAAGCUUAAUGAAACUAAAUUUUCAACUUCUACAUUCGAUCCCAAAAUCUAUCAAAUCAAGUCCGAUUGACAUCAAAUUUUGCACACAAGUCAUAAAUGACAUAAUGGAGCUAUGAAAAUUUUCAGAACUGGAUUCCAACCCCGAUACCAAAACGUCAACUCCCCGGUCAAACUUCCAAACUUAAAUUCCUAUUUUAGUCAUUUCAAGCCUAAAUGAGCUACAGAUCUCCAAAACACAAUCUGGACAAGCCCCUAAACCCAAAAUCACCCAACGGAGCUAAUGAAACCGACGUAAUUCUAUUCCGGAGUCAUCUUCAUACAAUUCUGACUACGGUCCAAAUCCUAAGGCUUAAACCUCAAUUUAGGGACUAAGUGUCCCAAAACACUCCAAAAAAUAAAACGAAACCUCCCGACAAGUCACAAUAGCAGGAAUUGAUAUGUGAGAAGCAGUAAAUAGGGGAUCAGGGCUAUUACUCUCAAAACAAUUGGCCGGAUCGUUACAUCCCCCCCCCUCUUCAAGCAAUCGUUCGUCCUCGAACGAGCAUAGAGACAUACCUGUAGUGGUGAAAAUAUGAGGAUAACGGUUAUGCAUAUCUUGUUCAGUCUCCCAAGUCGCCUCCUCGACCAGAUGACCCCUCCACUGAACCUUCACGGAAGCAAUGUCCUUUGACCUUAACUUUCGCACCUGCUUGUCCAAAAUAGCCAUUGGUUCCUCAACAUAAGAUAGAUCCUUGUUCAACUAAACUGAAGUCUAACACAUGAGAUGGAUCGACGUGAUACUUCCGGAGCAUAGAAACAUGGAACAAUGGAUGAACUAUAGAGAGACUAGGUGAUAGUGUAAGUCUGUAAGUCACCUCCCCAACUCAAUAAUCUCAAAAGGACCAAUAUACAUAGGGCUCAACUUGCCCUUCUUCCCGAACCUCAUAACACCUUUCAUAGGCGAAACACGGAGCAAGACCCGCUCACCAACCAUGAAUGCAAUAUCGCGAACCUUCCGAUCCGCAUAAAUCUUCUAUCUGGACUGGGCUAGGCGAAGUCUAUCCUGAAUCACCUUAACUUUCUCCAAGGCAUCCUGAACCAAGUCUGUACCCAAUAGCCUAGCCUCGACCGGUUCGAACCAACCCACUGGAGACCGGCACCGCCUACUAUACAAGGCCUCAUACGGAGCCAACUGAAUGCUCGAAUGGUAGUUGUUGUUAUAUGCAAACUACGCAAGUGGCAAGAACUGAUCCCAAGCACCCCCAAAAACUAUCACACACGCACGGAGCAUAUCCUCCAGUAUUUGAAUAGUGCGCUAGGACUGUCCAUCAGUGUGAGGGUGAAAUGUUGUGCUCAACUAAACCCGAGUACCCAACUCAUGUUGUACAACUCUCCAGAACUGUGAUGUAAAUUGCAUACCCCGGUCAGAGAUGAUGGAUACCGGUACGCCAUGAAGUCUAACGAUCUCGUGGACAUAAAUUUGAGCCAACUACUCGGAAGAAUAGGUAGUCAUCAUAUAAAUAAAAUGAGUUGACUUGGUCAGCCUGUCCACAAUCACCCAAACUGCAUCAAACUUCCGCGAAGUCUGUGGGAGUCCACCAAUGAUCUCCAUAGUGAUUCGCUCCCAUUUCCAAUACGGAAUCUCUAGCUUCUGAAGCAACCCACCUGGUCGUUGAUCCUCAUACUUCACCUGCUGGUAAUUUAGACACCGGGCCACAUACUCUACUAUGUUCUUCUUCAUCCUCCUCCACCAGUAAUGUUGUCUCAAGUCCUGAUACAUCUUUGCGGCACCCGGAUGAACAGAGUAUCGCGAACUGUGAGCCUCUUGGAGAAUCAACUCACGCAAACCAUCUACAUUGGGCACGCAUAGCCUGCCCUACAUCCUCAAUGCACCAUCAUCUCCAAUAGUGACAUCUCUAGCAUUACCUCGCCGAACCCUGUCCUGAAGGACGAGUAGAUGGGGGUCAUUAUACUGACUCUCCCUGAUACGAUCCUAAAGAGAAAAUCGAGAGACCACACAAGCCAAUACUCGACUUAGCUCAGAAAUAUCCAAUCUCACAAACUGGCUAAGGCCUGAACAUCCAACGCCAAUGGCCUCUCUGCUGCUGGUAGAUAUGCUAAACUCCCCAAGCUCUCCGCCUUAUGACUCAAGGCAUAGGCCACUACAUUGGCCUUCCCGGGAUGAUAGAGAAUGGUGAUAUCAUAAUCCUUAAGUAACUCCAACCACCUCCUCUAACACAAAUUAAGAUCAUUCUGCUUGAACAGAUGCUGCAAACUCCGGUGAUCAGUGUAAAUCUCACAAGGAACACCGUACAAAUAAUGCCGCCAAAUCUUCAAGGCAUGAACAAUAGCUGCUAACUCCAGGUCAUGAACAUGACAGUUCUUUUCAUGCACCAUCAGCUGUCUGGAUGCAUAGGCAAUCACCCUACCGUCCUGCAUCAACACCGUGCCGAGACCAAUCCGCGAUGCAUCACAAUAUACAGUAUAAGACCCUGAACAUGUAGGCAACACCAAUAUUGGGGAUGUAGUCAAAGUUGUCCUGAGCUUUUGGAAUCUCUCCUCACAUUCCUCGGUCCACCUGAACGGAGCACCCUUCUGGGUAAAUUUGCUCAUAGGUGCAGCAAUAGAAGAGAAACCCUCUACAAAUCUACGGUAAUACCCCGCCAAACUAAGAAAACUCUGGAUCUCUGUAGUUGAGGAUGGUCUGGACCAACUCUGCACUGCUUCAAUCUUCUUCAGGUCUACCUUGAUCCCCUCACUCAAUACUAUAUGACCCAAGAAUGCCACUGAGUCUAGCCAAAACUCACCCUUUAAAGUCUGAAGCACAGUCCUGAGGUGCUGCUCAUGAUCCUCCCGACUCAGGAAGUACACCAGAAUGUCGUCAAUAAACACAAUGACAAACGAGUCAAGAUAAGGCCAGAACACACAGUGCAUCAAGUGCAUAAAAAUUGUCGGUGUAUUGGUCGACCCAAAAGACAUAACAAGAAACUCAUAGUGACCAUACCGAGUCCUGAAAGCAGUCUUCGGGAUAUCUGGCUCCCAAAUCUUCAACUGAUGAUAACCUGAACGCAAGUCAAUCUUAGAAAAUACUCUAGCACCCUGUAACUGAUAAAAUAGGUCAUCAAUACAAGGCAAAGGAUACCGGUUCUUCACUAUGACUUUGUUCAACUGGCGGUAAUGAAUACACAUCCGCAUAGAACCAUCCUUCUUCUUCACAAAUAAGACAGGAACACCCUAAGGUGACACACUGGGCCGAAUGAAGCCCUUAUCAAGCAACUCCUGUAACUGCUCUUUCAACUCCUUCAAUUCAGGAAAAGCCAUACGAUAUGGAGGAAUAGAGAUGGGUAGAGUGUCUGGCAACAAAUCAAUGCCAAAAUCAAUAUCUCUGUCGGGCGGCAAGCCCGGAAUAUCAACUGGAAACACAUUUGGAAAGUCCUUCAUUACUGGAACUGACACAACUGUAGGGGUAUCUCUAUACUGACAUCUUUCACAUAAGCUAGAUAUGCGUCACACCCCUUCUCAACCAUUCGCUGAGCUUUAAGAAAUGAAAUAACUCUGCUGGGAGUAUACUCUAAGGUACCUCUCCACUCUAAUCGCGGAAGUCUUGGCAUAGCCAACGUCACGGUCUUAGCGUGACAAUCAAGAAUAGCAUAAUGGGGUGACAACCAGUCCAUGCCCAAAAUAAUAUCAAAGUCCACCAUGUUGAGCAAUAAUAAAUUGGCUCUGGCCUCAAAACCACUAAAAGCAAUCAAACACGACUGAUGCAGGUGGUCCACAACAAGAGAAUCUCCCACAUGAGUAAACACAUAAAAGGGAACUCAAAGAAUUCCGAGAUACACCAAAAUACAGGACAAAAUAAGAAGACACAUAGGAAUAUGUUGAGCCUGGGUCAAAUAAUACCGACGCAUCUCUAUGACAGACUGGAACACUACCUGUAAUGAUAGAAUUAGAAGCAACUACCUAUGUACAAGCAGGAAGGGCAUAAUAUCUGGCUUGGCCUCCCCCUCUAGGGCGACCUCUACCUCCCGGCCUCCACUUCGGGCUGGCUGAGCAGGUGCGGUGGCAGCUGGUUCUAUAAUCAUAGCUUGAGGACCCGGUGGAGCACGUUGUGUCUGAGAAGUCUGUGGAGGUGCACCCCUCCUAAACCUGGGGUAAUCCCUCACCAUAUGGCGAGUGUCGCCACACUCAAAACAAGCUCUGGGAGGGCGUGGCUGCUAUGAUUGGCUCAGGCCAGGUCUGCUGGACUGGCCGCUAGGAACACCCAGUGCAGGAGGCACACUAGAUAAUGGCGGUGCAAAAUAAGGCUCCUGGGGCCUAGAAGGAACUGGAACACCGCUGGCAGCUGGAAGAGCUGAAUGAACGGGGCGACUCACAUAACCCCUACCAUGGCAAGCUACUGGGGAACGAGCACAAGAAUAAGAACCAGUCUCUCGAGACCUCUUGUCCUCUCUCUCCUCUCUAUUUCGGGCAAGCAUGCCCUCCAAUCUCCUAGCGAUACUCACAACCUGCUGAUAAGAAAUAUCCAUCUCCAACUCCCUAGCCAUACUAAUCCAGAUACUGGGGUGGAGUCCCUCAAUAAACCGUCAAUCCCUCUCUCAAACUAUGGCAACCAAGGUCGGUGCAUGUCAGGCCAAAUCACUGAAACGGACUACAUACUCUGACACAGUCAUGGAUCCAUGGCGCAGUUGCUCAAACUCCGCGCGCCAUGAGUCCUUGAGGCUCUGAUGGACAUACUCUAUCAAAAACAUAUCCGAGAACUGAGUCCAUGUAAGUGAAACUGCAUCAUCCGUACUACUCAGCUCAUAAGCAUGCCACCACUGAUAAGCUACUCCUCUAAGUUGGAAUGUAUUAAAAGAAACCCCGCUUGUCUCCAUUACGCCCAUAGUACGGAGAAUACAAUGACACUCCUCCAGAAAACCAUGAGCAUCAUCUGUAGCCAAUCCGCUGAAGGUAGGUGGGGUGGUACUUCUUGUACCUCUCAAGCAUGAGCUGCUCCACCUUAGAAGUUGUUGCUCUAACCUCGAGUUGAGUUGGAGCUACCAGCUGCAUUGGUACAAUCUUUGGAACCUGGUCGACCUGAACCCGCUGCUCUAGACUACCGGCGACGGGAGUUUGUGCUCCUCCCCCGGCCCGAGAUGUGGCAGGAGCAAGUGGGAUCAAUCCAGCCUGAGCUAAGGUGCUGAACAUGCUCAGAAACUAGGCUAGAGUCUCCUAGAGGGCUGGUGCAGAAACAGGUACCUCAAGUGUCUGCCCUCCAGCUGGAGCUACUAGGGGCUCCUCUAUAGCAGCUCAUGCGGAUGCUCUGGCUGCACCAUGUGGACGUCCUCGACCUCUUCCCCGACCCCGACCUCUCGCGGCUUUAUCAGGGGGAACGGGUUCCUGGUCAUCAAAUCCGCUCAUACGUGUCCUCACCAUCUGUGAGAGAAUAGAAUAUAGAAGUUUAGAAUUAUUUUUUUCNNNNNNNNNNNNNNNNNNNNNNNNNNNNNNNNNNNNNNNNNNNNNNNNNNNNNNNNNNNNNNNNNNNNNNNNNNNNNNNNNNNNNNNNNNNNNNNNNNNNNNNNNNNNNNNNNNNNNNNNNNNNNNNNNNNNNNNNNNNNNNNNNNNNNNNNNNNNNNNNNNNNNNNNNNNNNNNNNNNNNNNNNNNNNNNNNNNNNNNNNNNNNNNNNNNNNNNNNNNNNNNNNNNNNNNNNNNNNNNNNNNNNNNNNNNNNNNNNNNNNNNNNNNNNNNNNNNNNNNNNNNNNNNNNNNNNNNNNNNNNNNNNNNNNNNNNNNNNNNNNNNNNNNNNNNNNNNNNNNNNNNNNNNNNNNNNNNNNNNNNNNNNNNNNNNNNNNNNNNNNNNNNNNNNNNNNNNNNNNNNNNNNNNNNNNNNNNNNNGCAAGACUCUACUAAACCUGCUUGUGACUUAUAACACCUAUGAACCUAGAGCUAUGAUACCAACUUGUCACGACCCCAUAUAUUCCCUCUGUAGGAUGUCGUGAUGGCACCUAGUCUCUAAGACUAGGUAAGCCUAUCAAUGUGGAAUAACAAUAGAAAUAUAAAAUAAAUAAAUUUGCAAUUCACUUAAUUACAACUCCCAAAACCCGGUAGAAAUAAGUCACAAGCUUCUAAGAAUUUAUCCACAAUGUAUCUAUACAUCAGGGUCUAAAGAAAGAUAAGGAAGCAACAUAAUAAUGAUAAUGGACAUGGGAAAAAAUAGAAGGGGACUCCGAGGUCUGCAGAGGCGCAGAUAUACCUUGAAGUCUCCAAAGUUGUCCGAGCUCACUGAUAGUGCGGCUGAUAAGGAGUAUAUGGAUCUGCACACGAAAAAUAUGUGCAGAAAAGUAGCAUGAGUACACUAUAAUCGGUACCUAUUAAGUGACAAGCCUAACCCCGGUCGAGUAGUGACGAGGUCAGGUCAUGACCCUACUGGUAUAUAUAAUAAUAAAGCAAGGCAGAAAUGAAAUAUCGCAAUAAAAUAAGGACUGAAAUUUAACAAGAAUUCAUAGAAGAUAACAGCUUAGUACACAAAAAUACAACAGGGGAUCUCCCGAGAUACCGUCUCGUAGUCCCAAACGUAAAUGUGCAGGGGGUUCUCCCGAAAUACCAUUUCGUAGUCCCAAAGAAAAUAUGCAAGACAGGGGGGGGCUCCCGAAAUACCGUUCCGUAGUCCCAAAAUAAAUAUGUAGUAUAGGGGGAUCUCUCGGAAUACCGUUCCGUAGUCCCAAAAUAAAUAUGCAGCCAAACAAUAGAAUUCAAUAGUUACAACAUGAAAUUCUACAGUUCAACCUAAGUACCAGUUAUGUAAAGACAGGUAAAUUCACUAAACAAGGUGCACGUAGUUCAAGUAAACAGUUAAGGCAAGUAGGCAUGCUAGUCUAGCUGGAUACCACACAUGCUGAUAGAACUCAAAUAAGAAGGAAAUCAGAUUAUUACAUAGUAGAAAAAUCGGGUUUUUACACAAUUAUCAUGUGUACGUACUCGUCACUUCACGUACACGGCGCUCAUAUAUCAAAAACAACAGUACAAAUCCUACGGGGAGUUCCCCCACACAAAGUUAGGCAAGCCACUUACCUCGAACCAAGCUCAAUCAAUUGGUAAGAAUGCCUUUUCCAAGAAUAUCCGACUCUGAAUGGCUCAAAUCUAGCCAAAAUAAUUCGAUAUAGUCAUCAAAAAUUAUACGAAUCAAUUUCAUAAGAAAAUACUAUAUUUUUCAAUAAAAAUCCAAAAUUAACUCAAAUAUCGCUCGUGGGGCCCAAGUAUCGGAAUCCGGAAAAACUCACAAAAUCCGAUAACUCAUUCAAUUACGAAUCCAACCAUACCAGUUUCACCCAAAUCCGACUCCGAAUCGACACCGAAAUCUCAAAAAUCCAUUACUAUGAAUUUUAUAAACUUUUCCCAAAUUUAAAUCUCAAAACACAAAUUAAAUGAUGAAAACAAAUGAUGGAUUCGGGUAAUCUAACCAAAUUGAGUUAAGAACACUUACCCCGAUGUUUUCUCUGAAAAUAUCCCAAAAAUCGCUUCUCCCCAAACUCCAAUUCGUCAAAAAUGGCACAGGGGACGACGUCCCUUGUUUUAUGAUUCUGUCUAGGCAACCCUCGGUCCUGCCUCGAUCAUGGCCCUCGAUCAUGGCGUCGAUCAUCCCUCGAUCAUGGGCCUCAAUCCUGACCUUCGAUCUUGGGCAUCGAUCAUGGCCCUCGAUCAUGGCCCUCGAUCCUGAGCCUUCGAUCCUGGCCCUCAAUCUUGAGCAUCGAUCUUGAGCAUCGAUCCUGGCUUCGAUUCUGGCCCUCGGCCCUAGGCUCAAUUUCUGGGUUCGAUUUCUGCAUUUCCAAGAAAAUUGCAGUAGCUGUUUAAGUCCAACUUUUGAUCUGUUAACCAUUCGAAAAUUACCCGAGGCCUUCGGGACCUCAAGCAAAUACACAAAAAUGUCCUAAAACAUCAUACGAACUUAUUUGAAACCUCAAAUCACAUCAUACAACGCUAAAAUCACAAUUCACACCCCAAUUUAAGCUUAAUGAAACUGAAUUUUCAACUUCUACAUUCGAUGUCGAAAUCUAUCAAAUCAAGUCCGAUUGACCUCAAAUUUUGCACACAAGUCAUAAAUGAUAUAACGGAGCUAUGAAAAUUUUCAGAACUGGAUUCCGAUCCCGAUACCAAAAAGUCAACUCCCCGGUCAAACUUCCAAACUUAAAUUCAUAUUUUAGCCAUUUCAAGCCAAAAUGAGCUACAGACCUCCAAAACACAAUCCGGACAAACCCCUAAACCCAAAAUCACCUAACAGAACUAACGGAAUCGACGAAAUUCUAUUCCGGAGUCAUCUUCAUACAGUUCUGACUACGGUCCAAAUCGUAAGGCUUAAACCUCCAUUUAGGGACUUAGUGUCCCAAAACACUCCAAAAACUAAAACGAAACCUCCUAGCAAGUCACAAUAGCAGGAAUAGAUAUGGGAGAAGCAGUAAAUAGGGGAUUAGGGCUAUUACUCUCAAAACGACUGCUCGGGUCGUUACAGUUUUUAAGUGCAAACUACUGCCCCAACUUUAAAACUAAUACUUCAACAUGUUAAUCCAAGAUAUCAAAGAGAUGAUCACAAAGAGAACUAAGAUUAAACAACAUCCAUAGUGUGCGCAAUAUUUAUUCAAACUCAAAAGAAUAACAAUCAACAUUAAUUCAAAAAACAAAAAAAAAGUUAAAGAUGGGCCUUUAUAGUACUGAACCAAAGCUAAAAAUUUACAGCUCAAUCACGCCAAACAGAGCAGCGGUUAUUGGUUGAAAGCUAAAGCUACUUUGUUGCGUGCUUCAGCUAGGUUUUGGGGUUGUUUAGGAAGGCCGUUUGGUUGCGUUUUUGCUGGUUUUUUGGACCGCCUUCAUGGCUGUUUUUCAGCUGUUUCUUUUGCUAUUUUCCGUAGUUGUUUCCCAAUGGUUUAAGGUGUUUGUAGGAGAUGGUUUUGUUGCUGGUUUUUGUGCAAAAGAGCUGCGUUUUUUGGUCAUUUUCAUGAAAGUUUCAGGUGAGUUUAUGGACUUUUUCGAGCUGCUUUUAGAGGGCUUUCAUGGCUGGAAAAUGGUGAGAAGCGGCUCCAAGCAUGCAUGAGUUUUCAAUCCUCAAAUAGAAUCUCGAUUUACCAUAAAUGGAACACUGACUAUUCAAGGCAAAUCAGAACUUUGUGCAUAUUACUUCAAACGUUCAAGACACAAAAUCGAGAUCUAACAACCGAACUUCGAGAUUUUUGCACAUAACAUUAACUACACCUCAAACUAACAACACUUAAUGCUCACAAAUUGCUCCCACGAGACACAACAUCAAUUUCCAUACUUGUUUUUGUCAUUAUCACUUAAAUCACAACAUGUUCCAGGUAUCAGUUAAAUCAAACGCUUCAAUCAAUGUUAUAACAUUGCACUUAUGCUAAAACUAAAUUUCAACAGAUUCAAAUAUGCUCAAACUAAAUUUCAACAGAUUCAAACAAUUGAAGCACAUGAACUAGAAAAUUCCGUUACGAAUCAGAGAGGAGAUACAUGAUUGAGAUAUGUACCUGGUCGCUAAGGAAUCAACCUAAAAUUUGCCAAAUAAAGGCUAGAAAGGAGGAAAAGUUGGAGCUCAACUGCAGUUUAUUUGCAAAACAGCCUCAAUUACCAGCUGAAAUCAACUUGAAAACCCAUGGACGUGUGAAUAAACUCUUCAAUGCUCGAUUUCACUUCAAGUUCUACUUGAAAUCUCUAUUUUUGCAUUUUUUAGGGCUUUUGUUUUUGUUCUCAGAUCUGAUUUUUGAAUUCGAAUUCAGAAUGAGUGGGUGUGCGUCAAUGAAUCCAGAGAGAGUUGAAAAGAGAAAGAACGUGUGAGAGGAGGGUCUGUGGGUGAGAAAAUCUUUUCGUGAGUGUGUAAGAGCGGAGGAGAAGGAGGAUAUGUGAGAGUGAGAGAGGGGACUAAUGGGGGCGGCUAGGGUUUUCUAAAGGGUGGGGGUUCAGGUCCGUCCGUCUCUUUGAAGAAGAGAGGAGGGUUUGGGCGUUUAAGGGAGUGAGAAGGAGGAACGACGUCGUUUUGGU
RNAcentral lists this long non-coding RNA (12210 nucleotides) under Nicotiana tabacum (common tobacco). Its description in RNAcentral is "long non-coding RNA (NTAB_LNC005590)". Lineage: Eukaryota; Viridiplantae; Streptophyta; Magnoliopsida; Solanales; Solanaceae. The record is from RNAcentral.